AUCUCAAAGCUCACUCUGUGCAGAAUCUCUGAGAAGUCUAAUAUAAACUGAAUGAGGAUGAUGUGCAGACCAGGCCUGGGCCACAGACACUGGGCAUAUGUGUUGGAUUCUCAAUUCAGGACUGAGGAAAAUCAAACACAAAGAUGAUAUAUAUAUUCAAUUCUUUACCAUUGGCUCGGUCAUCUCUGCCUAUAAAAAUGAUCAUAUUAUCCUCUCUCCCACUGGAGCACUCCUAUCCUCAACUAUAAAAACUGCCUCGGACUCAACGGCAAUCCUUCCUCUGCUGUCAACUCUGUCACUCCUUGACACCUUGCAAUUUGGCUUCCGGUGAAAAUGUUUCUCAGAUGUUAUCAGUGAUUCCGCGUUGCCAAAUUCAAUGGCAUUUUGUCAGAACUCAUUGUCUUUAUGUGCUCUAAAGAAACCCAUAUUUCUGAUCACCCCUUCCUUUUGCACAUCAAUGUAUAAUAUAAUACAUCUACUGAUUAAAUACUCAUUUUACAAAACUCCUAAAUGCUAGAAGAGAGACACAGAUUUAAAAUCCAUAUUUUGUUCUUUGGACGAAAUUUUACACAAAGAAUAACACUGAGUACCAAAAUCUGGCAAAACUUUAAUAAAUGUGUCAAUUACUUAACCUAAAACUUAUGAUCUCACCUUAUCCAGUACCAAACUAAAUUUCCAGGCCCACCAUCUACAUAUCAUCGAACUUAAAUAUGUCCAGUGCUCUUUCCGUGCUAUUUUCUUCUAUCUUUAUCCCCCAUGCUACCUGGAAUUACAGCUAACCCUUGGUGCCCAGCUCUAAUGGCCUCUCUUGUGGGACUGGGUCCCUGGUUGCUUCAGGCUACGAUGAUCACCACCUUCUCUGAAUCACAGCAUUUUAUGUGACAGUCAUCAGAUAGUGCUUUAUGCCACAGUUUUCUAUAAUCCCUACUGUCUGAUUGACUGAAUAUAGGCCCUUAAAGUUAGGGAGCAGGUACCAUUCUUUCUAUUUUUGAGAGAAGCAGAAGCAUGCAGUGAUGGCCAUCCAUGUCUUCACACCUCCCUGUAUCCAAGCUCUCAGGGGGUCUCCUUCCACAGUAACCCUGGCUUGGCCAUGAGACUUGUUUCAUCCAAUGAGAUAUUAGCAGAUUUGAUGCAAGCAGAGGCUUCCUGAGCAUUUACAUCCUGGAGACUGUUUUCUUUUGCUGUUCUCUGGAACUCUGAAACCACUGCAUGGGCUAGCUUUGCGAAAGGUGAAACACUCCAUGAAACAGAAACAAGUUCACCCACCUGAGCACCCCCAAACCAACCAGACCCCAACCAAGACCCCAGCCUGAACAGAUCCACCAAGCUGACCCAGGCCAGAAGAACCACACUGCUGACCACAGUAUCAUGAGAAUAAAUGCUUGCUGUUUAAAGCCAUUACAGUUUCUGGUGAUGUAGGGGGAGGUGUUAAUGGAUGUACCGGGUAUCUGGCACACUGUAUUAUUCUGAAAUGAGUAAAGAAUACAAUUUUAAUAAAAUCUCUCUCAUCAUCCAAUUCUUACUUAGUAGAUUUUCUCUAGCCUAGAAAUUGAAAUACUCCAUAUGUCUGCAAAGGGUUUUCUAGUUUGU
This 1590-nucleotide long non-coding RNA is filed under the name Homo sapiens (human). Its description in RNAcentral is "non-protein coding lnc-WAC-4:2". Lineage: Eukaryota; Metazoa; Chordata; Mammalia; Primates; Hominidae. The record is from RNAcentral.